AGGUGAAAUUUAGUGACAUUAGGUGAAAAUAUAGAAAUAAAAGAUGUUUUUAGGCUGUUAAGACUUAGGUAUAAAACAGGAUUAGAUACCCUGUUAUACUAAGUUGUAAGUAUAGUGCUUGAGUAGUAAAUAGUUAUAUUCUCGAAACUUAAAAGAUUUGGCGGUAUUUUAGUCUUGUUAGAGGAACCUGUUCUUUAAACGAUAAACCACGAAUUAUCUUACCUCUUUUUGUAUACAGUUUGUAUACCGCCAUUGUUAGAUAGGUUUUAUAAGAUCUAUCAAAAUAAAAGUUUUUAGUAUAUUAGGUCAAGGUGCAGCCAAUAAAGAGGCUAGUAAUGGGUUACAAUACUAUAUGUGUAUACGGAAAAGCCAAGGUAGAUGGGCUUGGAAGGUGGAUUUAAUAGUAAUUAUUAUUUAUCAUGGUAUUUUGAUAAUAGCUCUAGGAUAUGUA
Molecule: ribosomal RNA, 451 nt
Filed under: Chlorotocoides spinicauda
Lineage: Eukaryota; Metazoa; Arthropoda; Malacostraca; Decapoda; Thalassocarididae
Description: 12S ribosomal RNA
Source: RNAcentral